This 1357-nucleotide ribosomal RNA is filed under the name uncultured bacterium. RNAcentral's name for it is "bacterial SSU rRNA". It matches the Rfam family "Bacterial small subunit ribosomal RNA", at positions 28 to 1381 of the family's 1533-position model. The record is from RNAcentral.
GACGAACGCUGGCGGCGUGCUUAACACAUGCAAGUCGAACGGAAAGGCCCUGCUUGCAGGGUACUCGAGUGGCGAACGGGUGAGUAACACGUGGGUGAUCUGCCCUGCACUUCGGGAUAAGCCUGGGAAACUGGGUCUAAUACCGGAUAGGAGCCAUUUUUAGUGUGAUGGUUGGAAAGUUUUUUCGGUGUAGGAUGAGCUCGCGGCCUAUCAGCUUGUUGGUGGGGUAAUGGCCUACCAAGGCGGCGACGGGUAGCCGGCCUGAGAGGGUGGACGGCCACAUUGGGACUGAGAUACGGCCCAGACUCCUACGGGAGGCAGCAGUGGGGAAUAUUGGACAAUGGGCGAAAGCCUGAUCCAGCCAUGCCGCGUGUGUGAAGAAGGCCUUUUGGUUGUAAAGCACUUUAAGUGGGGAGGAAAAGCUUAUGGUUAAUACCCAUAAGCCCUGACGUUACCCACAGAAUAAGCACCGGCUAACUCUGUGCCAGCAGCCGCGGUAAUACAGAGGGUGCAAGCGUUAAUCGGAAUUACUGGGCGUAAAGCGCGCGUAGGUGGUUAUUUAAGUCAGAUGUGAAAGCCCCAGGCUUAACCUGGGAACUGCAUCUGAUACUGGAUAACUAGAGUAGGUGAGAGGGGAGUAGAAUUCCAGGUGUAGCGGUGAAAUGCGUAGAGAUCUGGAGGAAUACCGAUGGCGAAGGCAGCUCCCUGGCAUCAUACUGACACUGAGGUGCGAAAGCGUGGGUAGCAAACAGGAUUAGAUACCCUGGUAGUCCACGCCGUAAACGAUGUCUACCAGUCGUUGGGUCUUUUAAAGACUUAGUGACGCAGUUAACGCAAUAAGUAGACCGCCUGGGGAGUACGGCCGCAAGGUUAAAACUCAAAUGAAUUGACGGGGGCCCGCACAAGCGGUGGAGCAUGUGGUUUAAUUCGAUGCAACGCGAAGAACCUUACCUGGUCUUGACAUAUCUAGAAUCCUGCAGAGAUGCGGGAGUGCCUUCGGGAAUUAGAAUACAGGUGCUGCAUGGCUGUCGUCAGCUCGUGUCGUGAGAUGUUGGGUUAAGUCCCGCAACGAGCGCAACCCUUUUCCUUAGUUACCAGCGACUCGGUCGGGAACUCUAAGGAUACUGCCAGUGACAAACUGGAGGAAGGCGGGGACGACGUCAAGUCAUCAUGGCCCUUACGACCAGGGCUACACACGUGCUACAAUGGUUGGUACAAAGGGUUGCUACACAGCGAUGUGAUGCUAAUCUCAAAAAGCCAAUCGUAGUCCGGAUUGGAGUCUGCAACUCGACUCCAUGAAGUCGGAAUCGCUAGUAAUCGCAGAUCAGAAUGCUGCGGUGAAUACGUUCCCGGGCCU